GUAUAAAACACAACAGUACAGGAAAUGGCAAUCAAACAAGGUGGGAGUGAAGCAGGGCUGGAGGAUAGAGUAAAGUGCUGCCCUAUAGGAGAGAGCAAGAGACAGGUGUGUAAGGUAGAGGUUACUCUGGGAGGCCAUAAGCUUUCCUAAAUUUUAACCAGGAAAGGUACAUUCAGAUUACUCUGGUUUUAGGUACGUCCUGUGGAUGUUACCUUGGCCCAACAUCCAGGGGUUGCAUAUCGUGCCCCACAAGCAAACAUUGUAGCUGUG
This is a non-coding RNA of Pelobates cultripes (western spadefoot toad), 270 nucleotides long. NCBI's taxonomy places the organism in Eukaryota, Metazoa, Chordata, Amphibia, Anura, Pelobatidae. The record is from the annotation of a GenBank genome assembly.